GGCCUGAUGGUCUAGUAGUAUGAUUCCUUGUUAGGGCUCUGUGGAAAUUGUUCCCAGACCAGUCGAGGAGGUCCCGGGUUCAAUUCCCGGUUAGGCCC
Molecule: non-coding RNA, 98 nt
Organism: Favolaschia claudopus
Lineage: Eukaryota; Fungi; Basidiomycota; Agaricomycetes; Agaricales; Mycenaceae
Source: the annotation of a GenBank genome assembly